Non-coding RNA from Sesamum indicum (sesame), 222 nucleotides. The record is from RefSeq and is a predicted model, not a curated record. Lineage: Eukaryota; Viridiplantae; Streptophyta; Magnoliopsida; Lamiales; Pedaliaceae.
AGCUACCUCUCCUGUCCAAAGAAGGUAUAUGUGCCAUUGGAAGAUAAUCGCUCAAACUUGGUGCACACAGCGUGGGCAAUGAUGGGUCUAAUCCAUUCAGGACAGGCUGAUAGAGACCCUACACCUCUUCAUCGUGGAGCAAAGCUUUUGAUCAACUCUCAGUUGGAAGAUGGUGAUUUUCCCCAACAGGUAUGACUAAUAAUUAUGGACUGCACUGAAAUU